Molecule: ribosomal RNA, 117 nt
Filed under: Chloroflexota bacterium
Lineage: Bacteria; Bacillati; Chloroflexota
Source: RNAcentral
CCUGGUGUUUAGAGCGAGGUGGCACCACCCGUUCCCAUCCCGAACACGGAAGUGAAACGCCUCAGCGCUGACGAUAUUGUGCCCGCGAGGGUAUGGGAAAAUAGGCCAUCGCCAGGA